CAGAUUGAUGGUGUUGCUCUCAUUUUCAGAUGAGAACAACAGACUCAGAAAGGUUAAGAAACUUAUCCGAGGUAACCAAACUGCAAGAAAAAAAGGCUUACAGAAGAGUUUGGAAAAAAGGCCUCAGUUUCAUCUGUUUUCAAUCUCUGUUUAAGGAGAUGCUAAGGAUGUGUUUCAUAAUAAGAAUUCAAGUGACAAGGAAUCAAGUCUGUAACAACUGUGUUUAGCUGUGAGAAAAAAUCCAGAAGAAAUGCCCAUUUCCCAUUCUUCAGUAAAUUGCAUGGGAGUACAGAAAACAGAUAAACAAUAUCAACUUAAGCAACGUAUGUUUGAGUAUAUAAUAAUACUGGAAAAAUUAAGCUUGAAAUAAAAAGAAACAGAAGCAGAGAAAUGAAGUAAUCAGUGUGGUAAGAGUUGGGUAAAAAUCUAUUCCACUCAACCUCAAUUAUUUAGACAAGUAAGUCUGAGGAAGUUUUCAAAGUCUGAAAAAAGUCUUAUGUUGAAAGAGAAGAUCUUAACUUCUGGAAUAUGGAAAGGCACAGAGCUAGAAAAAACUACUACUUAACAAAGUUUG
RNAcentral lists this long non-coding RNA (574 nucleotides) under Pan troglodytes (chimpanzee). Its description in RNAcentral is "long non-coding RNA NONPTRT016628". Lineage: Eukaryota; Metazoa; Chordata; Mammalia; Primates; Hominidae. The record is from RNAcentral.